This is a non-coding RNA of Phrynosoma platyrhinos (Desert horned lizard), 75 nucleotides long. Lineage: Eukaryota; Metazoa; Chordata; Lepidosauria; Squamata; Phrynosomatidae. The record is from the annotation of a GenBank genome assembly.
UGGUCCAUAGCAUAGUGGUAGAGCAUGUGAUUUCAAAGCAGAAGGUCCAAGGUUCAAUCUCUAGUACAGGGGUAG